Long non-coding RNA from Chinchilla lanigera (long-tailed chinchilla), 1586 nucleotides. The record is from Ensembl. Lineage: Eukaryota; Metazoa; Chordata; Mammalia; Rodentia; Chinchillidae.
AUGCAAGAGACAUACAACUGUUUUGUAAAAGGACCACGGCUGAGAGACGUCCCCAGAGAGCUGUCUGGGGUGUUGGGGGAGGGAGUGAAGAAAACGGUAUCAAAUAUCAGAGGAGGGGAGGCGAGGGGCGGAGCCGCGGGCUCCUGCGCGCACCGCACUGGCGUGGAGGAAAACCCACCACGACGGAGACUUUCAGAUUUGGCCUCGGGGGCCGGGGCUCUGCCCUCCUCAACGAUGAUUCAAGAAUAUCCUCUCCCCGCCCCUGCCCCGGCCCACACCGCCCAACAGCCGCUGCCAGCGCGGACGGGAAUUCAGCUCGGCCUGCGCGGCCGCGGCUCCCACCGGGUCCUGGAAGGAAAGCGGCUCCGCGCUGGGGCGGCCGGCGGCCGGGUCCCCAGGGAGGCAGAGCAGACAACGGGGGCCUCGGGGAGCAGCAGCGGGCCCGAGAGGAGGGGACAGGGACGGGCCGGCACGGUUCGCUGCGGGGCUGGUGGCCGCAGAGGCCGCUGGCUCCUCCUCGUCACUCGUCCGCCGAGGACGACGCGGGACUCUCGUCGUCCGACAUCGGGGCGAACUGAAAGGAGAAGCGGGGCCGGGUGUCUGGCGUCCUUUCCCUGGGAGACGCGGGGCCCGGGGCUGGGGAUGCCGAGAGUGACAGGCGAGGUCCCUGGCCCCGAAGAAGUGACGCAUCCGGGGGUGGGGGUGGGGUGUGAAGAAAUAAAGGCAGUAAACUGGGCACGGUGGCGCACGCCUGUAAUCCCAGCCCUCGGGAGGCUGAGAUGACAGGUGUGCGCUGCCAGUCCUGGCUCUGAAUGUGGUUUGAUUCAUCCAAUUAACCAAAAUGAAAGAUGCAGAACAGGGUGCUGGGUCCCUUCCUUCUUGUGCCUGCAGGACCCGAGGGACACACAAGAAUUGCAGGGUAGGGGGCUCCUCACCCGCCGUUGACCCCCACAAACUGCAGGCUCCUCCUGUGGGCUGAGGGGUCUCCGGGCUCCUCCUUCCUCUUCAUGAUGGAGCGCACGCCCGCCUGGGGCCCACCUGGAGGGGAGGGAGUGACAGGGGUCCCUGGAGACGACGCCUACUGGGAGCCCUGUGUCCCCACCUCCUCCGUGGCCACAGCCGCACUCACCUGCUCCCCCAGCCUCCCGUGACACGGGAGCCGCCUCCCCAGGGGGCUCCGUGUCCACAGGGUCAGCAGAGGCCACCCGGCCUGGGUUCUCUGGCGCAGACACUGGUGGGGACGAGGGCUCUGCAGGUGCCCGUGGGGGGCCUGAAGGGACAGAAAAUGAGGUGUCACACGUGUGACAGCGAGAUGACAACAUUCCUCAGAGCUGAGCCCACGGGCCAAGUCUCCCCAGUUCUGAGGGGCUGGACGAUCACUGAGGAGGAAACUGAGGUUCAGAAGUUAUUAGGGAGAAAGAGUUGAGCCAGGCAUGGUGACACAUACCUGUCAUCCCAGCACUCAGGAGGCUGAGGCAGGAGGACUGUUGGGAGUUUGAGGCCAGCCUGGAUAAUUUACCUACUUAGAGAGACCCUGUGUUUUUUUGUCUUUUUGAGACAGGGUCUCACUACACAGUUCAGGCUGG